GACGAACGCUGGCGGCGUGCUUAACACAUGCAAGUGGAGCGACGAACCGGGGCUUGCCCCGGGGCAGAGCCGCGAACGGGUGAGUAACACGUGGGUAACCUGCCUCAAUGAUUGGGACAACCCCGGGGAAACUCGGGCUAAUACCAAAUGUGUUCACUCCUUCUAAGGGGAGUGAGGAAAGGAAGCUUCGGCCUCCGCAUUGAGAUGGGCCCGCGGCCCCAUUAGCUUGUUGGUGAGGUAACGGCUCACCAAGGCUUCGAUGGGUAGCUGGUCUGAGAGGACGAUCAGCCACACUGGGACUGAGACACGGCCCAGACUCCUACGGAGGCAGCAGUGGGGAAUCGUUGCACAAUGCGCGAAAGCGUGAUGCA
Molecule: ribosomal RNA, 371 nt
Filed under: uncultured bacterium
Lineage: Bacteria
Description: bacterial SSU rRNA
Rfam family: Bacterial small subunit ribosomal RNA
Source: RNAcentral